GUGUGAAAAAAGGACUGAAGAGGCAUGAAAUAUGAAUCCAGAGAAAGGGAUAUAGGUGGGAAGGGGAAAGUAGAAAUGGGAGCA
Amblyraja radiata (thorny skate) is the source of this 84-nucleotide long non-coding RNA. RefSeq lists it as uncharacterized. The transcript has 3 exons. Lineage: Eukaryota; Metazoa; Chordata; Chondrichthyes; Rajiformes; Rajidae. The record is from RefSeq and is a predicted model, not a curated record.